RNAcentral lists this ribosomal RNA (2583 nucleotides) under groundwater metagenome. RNAcentral's name for it is "bacterial LSU rRNA". It matches the Rfam family "Bacterial large subunit ribosomal RNA", at positions 3 to 2487 of the family's 2925-position model. The record is from RNAcentral.
UCAAGCUACAAAGGGCUCAUGGUGGAUGAUUUGGCGUCAAUAGGCGAUGAAGGACGCGGUAAGCUGCGAUAAUCCUCGGGGAGGCGCAAACAGCCUUUGAUCCGGGGGAUUCCGAAUGGGGGAACCCAUUAUGGGUAAUACCGUAAUAUUCAUGCCUGAAUAUAUAGGGUAUGAAAGCGAUACCAGGAGAACUGAAACAUCUUAGUAACCUGAGGAAAAGAAAACUCUUAGUGAUUCCCUCAGUAGCGGCGAGCGAAAGGGGAAGAGCCUAAACCUGAUGUAUGCAGAAGGCUGUCCAAGUUGUACGUCAGGGGUUGUGGGGUUUAGCCGGAUUUACGGACAGGACGAUCAGGGAGACAUAACUUUUAUCUCAAGCCGAAUAGUAUGGAAAGGCUAAUCAAAGAUGGUGAGAAUCCAGUAGGCGAAUGGGAUAAGAGCUCCCCGGGCUAAAUACCCAAGUACUAUGGGACACGUGGAACCCUAUAGGAAUCUGGCCCGACCACGGGCUAAGGCUAAAUACUAAUUGGCGACCGAUAGUGGAAAAGUACCGUGAGGGAAAAUUGAAAAGAACGCCGGAAGGCGAGUGAAAUAGUACCUGAAAUCGUGAGCCUACAAGCCGUAGGAGCUCCGACGUUACGUCGGAGUGACUGCGUGCCUUUUGCAUAAUGAACCGGCGAGUUAUUGGGCGCAGCAAGGUUACCCCUGCCAUGCAGGGGAAGCCGUAGCGAAAGCGAGUCUGAAUAGGGCGAUUGAGUUGCGUCAAAUAGACCCGAAUAUGAGUGAUCUACCCACGGCCAGGGUGAAACCCGCGUAAAAGCGGGUGGAGGCCCGAACCCAUCAGUGUUGAAAAACUGUGGGAUGAGCUAUGGGUAGGGGUGAAAGGCCAAUCAAACUCAUUGAUAGCUGGUUCUCCCCGAAAUAGCUUUAGGGCUAGCCUCACAGAAUUAGAUGACGGGGGUAGAGUACUGAAUGGGCUAAGGAUCUUACCAGAUUACUGAACCCAAUCAAACUCCGAAUACCGUUAUUCUCUACUGUGGGAGUCAGACUACGGGGGAUAAGCUCCGUGGUCGAAAGGAAAACAGUCCAGACCGCCAGCUAAGGUCCUAAAAUGCAGGCUAAGUGGGAAAGGAUGUCAGAUUACAUAAACAACCAGGAGGUUGGCUUAGAGGCAGCCAUCCUUUAAAGAGUGCGUAACAGCUCACUGGUCAAGUGGUCUGGCGCCGACAAUGUAACGGGGCUCAAGCCUGCUACCGACGCUGCGGGAUCUCGUUUACUUCGGUAAAUGGGAUCGGUAGGGGAGCAUUCUGCAAUCAGUGAAGCUGGACGGUAACGACCGGUGGAGAGUGCAGAAGAGAUUAUGCCGGCCUAAGUAGCGAUAAACUAGGUGAAAAACCUAGUCGCCGUAAGUCUAAGGUUUCCUGGGGAAGGUUAAUCCGCCCAGGGUUAGUCGGUUCCUAAGCUGAGGCCUACGGGCGUAAGCGAAGGGCAACAGGUGAAUAUUCCUGUACUACCGGGCGACGAUAAAGACGCAAUGGGGGGACGCAGGAGGGUAGGCCAUGCCCGUGUUGGACGUCGGGCUCUAAACCCGUAGGGGGUCUUGAUAGGCAAAUCCAUCGAGACAUUAACCCCGAGAGGUGAUGGGGAGGCCGUAAGGCCACAAACUGGCUCAUCCCACGCUGCCAAGAAAAGCCUCUAGCGAGUCGUCAGGUAACCGUACCGCAAACCGACUCAGGUAGACGGGAAGAAUAUUCUAAGGCGCUCGAGAGAACACUCGCUAAGGAACUCGGCAAAAUAGCCCCGUAACUUCGGGAGAAGGGGUACCAUGCCAGCGUGAGUGAGUAUACCUUACAAAGCGCUGGAAGGUCGCAGAGAAUUGGGUCAAGCGACUGUUUAAUAAAAACACAGGUCCGUGCGAAGCUGAAAAGCGAUGUAUACGGACUGACGCCUGCCCGGUGCCGGACGGUUAACAGGAGGUGUUAUCUGCCGCAAGGUGGAGAAGCUCCGAAUCGAAGCCCCGGUAAACGGCGGCCGUAACUAUAACGGUCCUAAGGUAGCGAAAUUCCUUGUCGGGUAAGUUCCGACCUGCACGAAUGGCGUAACGACUUGACCGCUGUCUCAGCGAGUGGCUCGGUGAAAUUGUAGUACCGGUGAAGAUGCCGGUUACCCGCAGCAAGACGGAAAGACCCCGUGAACCUUUACUGUAGCUUGGCAUUGAAUCUUGGUGCAGUUUGUGUAGGAUAGGUGGGAGGCUUUGAAGCGGGGGCGCUAGUCUCCGUGGAGUCAACCUUGAAAUACCACCCUUUCUCUACUGGGAUUCUAACCUAGACCUGUGAAGCCAGGUUGGGGACAGUGUCAGGUGGGCAGUUUGACUGGGGCGGUCGCCUCCUAAAAUGUAACGGAGGCGUCCAAAGGUUCCCUCAGCACGGUCGGCAAUCGUGCGUCGAGUGCAAAGGCAUAAGGGAGCUUAACUGCGAGACCUACAAGUCAAGCAGGUGCGAAAGCAGGGCUUAGUGAUCCGGUGGUCCCGAGUGGAAGGGCCAUCGCUCAACGGAUAAAAGGUACUCCGGGGAUAACAGGCUUAUC